GUGAGGGGGGGUGACUGGUGACAGUGAGGGGGGGUGACUGGUGACAGUGAGGGGGGGGUGACAGUGAGGGAGGGGGUGACUAGUGACAGAGGGAGGGAGAUGGUGACUGUCACUAGUCACCCCAUCCCUCCCUCUGUCACUAGUCACUCCCUCCCUAACUCUGUCACUAGUCAUCCCCUCCCUCACUCUGUCACCAGUCACCCCAUACCUCCCUCUGUCACUGUGUCACCCCAUCCCUCCCUCUGUCACUAGUCACUCCCUCCCUCAC
Non-coding RNA from Pelobates cultripes (western spadefoot toad), 268 nucleotides. Lineage: Eukaryota; Metazoa; Chordata; Amphibia; Anura; Pelobatidae. The record is from the annotation of a GenBank genome assembly.